This 496-nucleotide ribosomal RNA is filed under the name uncultured bacterium. Its description in RNAcentral is "partial 16S ribosomal RNA". It matches the Rfam family "Bacterial small subunit ribosomal RNA", at positions 29 to 507 of the family's 1533-position model. The record is from RNAcentral.
AUGCACGCUGGCGGCGUGCCUAAUACAUGCAAGUCGAGCGAACGGACGAGAAGCUUGCUUUUCUGAUGUUAGCGGCGGACGGGUGAGUAACACGUGGAUAACCUACCUAUAAGACUGGGAUAACUUCGGGAAACCGGAGCUAAUACCGGAUUAUAUUUUGAACCGCAUGGUUCAUAAGUGAAAGACGGUCUUGCCGUCACUUAUAGAUGGAUCCGCGCUGCAUUAGCUAGUUGGUAAGGUAACGGCUUACCAAGGCAACGAUGCAUAGCCGACCUGAGAGGGGGAUCGGCCACACGGGAACUGAGACACGGUCCAGACUCCUACGGGAGGCAGCAGUAGGGAAUCUUCCGCAAUGGGCGAAAGCCUGACGGAGCAACGCCGCGUGAGUGAUGAAGGUCUUCGGAUCGUAAAACUCUGUUAUUAGGGAAGAACAUAUGUGUAAGUAACUGUGCACAUCUUGACGGUACCUAAUCAGAAAGCCACGGCUAACUACGUG